UUCUAAGCUGGUUUAAACUGUCAUACUUCAACCUGUUUGGUUGAAAGCUCUAAAGGAGGAGUGAAAAACUACUGUUAAAAUACUGAAUAGUAUUUCUUAUGACCAUAUUCUACAUGACAUUAAAAAUAAUGAAUGUGGUUGUUAUGUUAUUAUAUAUUGCUAAGCCAUUUUUACUGCAUUGAAUGUGAUUGUCUUAGGGUUUUUAUUGCUGUGAAGAGAUCUUGACCAUGGCAACUUCUAUAAGUGAGAACAAUUAGGGAUAGCUUACAAUUUUAGUGCUUUAGUCCAUUGUAGUCAUAUUGGGAAUCAUGGCAGCAUGCAGGCAGUCAUGAUGCUGAAGAAGAAGCUGAGAGUUCUUCAUCUAGAACUUCAGGCAGCAGGAAGUAAAGGGGUUUGAGCCUCCAAAGCCCACGCUCUAGUGAUACACUUCUUCCAAGGAAACCACACCUACUCCAACAAGGCCACACCUCCUAGUAGUGCCAGUCCCUAUGGUCCUAUUGGGGUCAUUUAUAUUCAAAGAUUUUUUGAAAUAUCUGAACUUUGCUUUUUAAAUUUUGCAUUAGUGUAUUUUAAGUUCAUCAGUAGAUGUGGGAUCUUGUGACCAUCCAUAUUUUAUAACACACACUUAGCUAAUUUAAUGAGUAUUUCGAAAGAAAUGAUAAUUAUGAACUUGUAGCUUAGUCUAAUACCAGCUUUCAUUAUUUUUUUUUAACUGAUAAUUGAAAUGCCUUCCUUAGUCAGCUUUGGUUACAGUUAAUAUGUUCUGAAAAAAUGCAUGUCAGGAAGUCAGUUGGAGAAGCCAGACAUUUCUAAAACCACCAGAAAAAAAUCUUAUUACUGGAAAACGUUUCAGAAAUUGGAGCUUUUCUCAACUGACACUGUUGAAAGAUGCUGUGCAGUCGAUAUUUAGUAGAUGUCGCUGAGGACUCGGUUAUCAACUGUACUAAAAGUGGCCCUGCACCAGAUGAUGAAGUUUGGCGAACAUUGCAGUAGGCUUAUAAGACGCUCUUUGUGGUCUUCUGCGGAAUCUGAAACCAAUCAACAUUCAAGGAGCCUGCUCUAGCCUUCCAUUCUUUGCUAAUUUUCCCACCCUACUGCCUGUUUAAAUUGCAAUAGUAUAAUGACAACUGCAUAUGGACCUGUGGUGAGGAAUCUGUAUCGUGUAUACAUACACGAUACUUUUUUUUUUUUUAAAUAUAGCCCAUGGACUGCUAUGUUGUCCUGGAGAGCACUGGGAAGGAAUUCAGCUAAAAACUGCAAACUUCAAGAAGAAGUAAUGGUUUGUUUCUCAAAUUGAACUCACUAAGAAGCAGUCAGCUAGACGGAGUUUGGCGUGAGGAGCUUGAUUAGGGGUGGGCUUGAGAUUAGACAGCCCCGAAAGAGGACAGCAAACAAAAGUGGGCAGCUGGGAAAUUGAGCUGUGAUGCCGUCAUGUUGGAAAUCUUCUUCAGUGUCCAGGGAAUGGUUCCCAUUUAAUGAACUUCCAAUGUUAUCCUCUAUUGAAAUGAAUUUUACACUUCAGUGUCUCCCAGAUAUUGACUGUGAGUUUCACUAGGAAGGAAUAUCAUUUUUCAGACAAAAACAAAAAAAAACAAAAAAAAACAAAAAAAAACUGAUGGAACAGGGAAGUGAGUUCUGCUUCUUGGCAGCUAUCUCAGCAUCUGGUAAAAUAAUUUCUUUUGUCCUUCACCAAGGGGACUGUGACCACCACAUCACAACAUCCAUUACAUAAAAUUAAAUCAUGGU
Molecule: long non-coding RNA, 1746 nt
Filed under: Mus musculus (house mouse)
Lineage: Eukaryota; Metazoa; Chordata; Mammalia; Rodentia; Muridae
Description: long non-coding RNA chr4:28872209-28873955
Source: RNAcentral